UUCGUGUUCACAGCGGACCUUGAUUUAAUUUCAUACAAUUAAGGCACGCGGUGAAUGCCAAGAGAGAAGCC
RNAcentral lists this microRNA precursor (71 nucleotides) under Sphenodon punctatus (tuatara). RNAcentral describes it as "miRNA (ENSSPUG00000010250.1)". It matches the Rfam family "mir-124 microRNA precursor family". Rfam says of the family: The mature ~21nt miRNAs are processed from hairpin precursor sequences represented here, in this case originating from the 3' arm. The bounds of the precursors are predicted based on conservation and base pairing and are not generally known. Lineage: Eukaryota; Metazoa; Chordata; Lepidosauria; Sphenodontia; Sphenodontidae. The record is from RNAcentral.